This is a non-coding RNA of Osmia lignaria (orchard mason bee), 859 nucleotides long. NCBI's taxonomy places the organism in Eukaryota, Metazoa, Arthropoda, Insecta, Hymenoptera, Megachilidae. The record is from RefSeq and is a predicted model, not a curated record.
CGUGUAAGUACUAUAACAUGCUAUUGCACAUUUUCAGAUACUUAUAUCAAAGCGAGAGAGAAAGCUAGGAUAGCGGAGGACACUAGUGACCUCCAGUCAGAAGUAGAGACAAUGCGAAGGCGAAAAAGGACACGCAGAUUUGUUUCAUCGGAGAGCGAGGAAUCGGAGAGUGAUUCUCUGAUUUUACCCUCGCCUCCACCGAUGCCGGAAGGAACAACAACGGUCGGCGAUAGUGCUGCAGGGAAUGCAUCCGCGGCAGCUCCCACCGUAACAGCCACGACAGGUCCCAGCAGUAGCGGAUGCAAUGCUUUAGACAUGUGUUACUGCUGUAGAGAGAGAAACCAGCACCUAGACACAUUAAUAAAGCAAAAUCAUUUAAUCCGCGGAUUAUUAAUGGAUUUAACCGCCGACAUGAAAGAAUUGAAAUUAGCACGUAAAGUCGGCUUAUUGCAGAACCAAUUUCAAUCUAUUGUAGAUAUGAAGAACUGAAGUUCCCCCUUACGCGGGAAGAAGAUUUGUCGGUCUUAGAAACCUCCUUAGCAAAGGAGGACCAUUUUAAAGAUGCAGUUCAGGAAUUAGCCAAAACAGGGGGGACAAUAACUAUCAAUUUGUCAAAAGGGUGUUGUCCUCCAUUAUAGAUAACAGCUUAGCGCUGAAAUACAGCUGGCUAGGAAGAAAGGGCAAAAAAGUGUUCUGCACCUUGCAUUUAGCUAGGUUGGUGAUAUUUGCUGCUGAAACGGCAAACCUUGGGGAUAGUAAAAGGACAAUGGAGGUCUCAAUUCAAAAUUGGCUGAGGAGAGCGUUUGAUAGAAGUCAUGUAACACCAAAACAAUUUUGAACAUUUAAAUAAAAUAUUAUU